CAAAAGAGGCAGACAACAAGGCCUUAAUAUUAGAAAGCUAAAAAAUCAAUGGUGAUUUGUUAAUAAAAUUGGCAGAAUUUAAGGAUUGAACAAGAACUAUUGUCUUGUCUCCAUGGUACUCGGCAAAACAAGGCCAUGUCCUAUAGUGAAGAGGAAGAAGAGCUUGAUUGGGCUUGACCUGGGCUUAUUGUGAAACUAAUUAAUUUAGAAAAAAUUAAUCUACUUUUUAUUGUGAAAUUAAAUUUAAUUAGAGAUGAGAACAUUUCAGUGGGAGCAAUAAUGAUGCUCACUCAAGUUGAA
This 300-nucleotide unclassified non-coding RNA is filed under the name Hevea brasiliensis (rubber tree). Lineage: Eukaryota; Viridiplantae; Streptophyta; Magnoliopsida; Malpighiales; Euphorbiaceae. The record is from RNAcentral.